RNAcentral lists this long non-coding RNA (2012 nucleotides) under Ananas comosus (pineapple). RNAcentral's name for it is "long non-coding RNA (ACOM_LNC003926)". Lineage: Eukaryota; Viridiplantae; Streptophyta; Magnoliopsida; Poales; Bromeliaceae. The record is from RNAcentral.
CUCCCGGUAGCGCGCCCAGACCCGCCAUAUGUCUACACAUAUAAGGCGUCUACAACAACAGCGGAAAUAAAGCAAGAGAUGAUCUACAACUAGAGAUAUCAGAGCAAGUACACAUCUAUAAUCUAAGAUAAGAGAAGUUGGAACAAACUAAAUAAUUAAAGAGGAAACAUAAAGUUAUACAAUAACCAUCUCAAAAGUACACAAAAUGGGUGGUCUCUAUUACACUGGUACAGCUCUCAACCUCUCCAAAAAAGAAACAACGAGAGGUAGACCACCUAUCAACGCGUCCCUCGAAGCCAAGCUAGCUCGAGGCGAUACCCUUUCCGCGGUCCCUAGCCUCUCCCGGCGUGGAAGGCUCUGAAAUAAAACAUAAAACAGAGGGCGUGAGAACUAUAAUUUAUAGUUCCCAGUGGGCAAUUACUAACCUCAGCUCAAUGCACCACUAGGCCCCAAAAGAAAAGGGUAAGUACGAUAAGCCACGAUAAUAGUAAAUAGAUUGCAUUUACGAAAGCAUAAUUAAAAUGCUAAGUUACUAUGUCGCAAAUAAACAUGAUGUCAAUGUGUUGUACAUCUACUUUAUCAAGAAGAAGUAUAUUCAAGCAUGACUAAUACGUCCCAACAUAACGAGCAAGUAGGUAUCAUGAUCCACUAUAUCAAUAUGUGACGAAUAUGCUCUAUCAUAGCAACCAAGUAUACUAAGAUGCAACAGGCAAUUUAUUAAGUAUACAACAUGUCUCAACACUAUGCUAUAAGCAUGUCAAAGUAAUCCAACUACUAAUCCUAUCUAGUAGUGAUUGUUAUCUCCCGAUUAAAUGUCAUUGUUUAAUCAUGUUCCAGGACCUACAUAAAUGUAGUCCAGCUUGUGCCACCUAAGUGUCGGUGGUAGCUCCAGCAUUUCCACUCUAGGAAUGAGUCUACCCCUCCCAACCCCGUAGGUUUCUCGAUACCGCACGAGCGAGCAAAAGUCGCGUAGGCCAACUCCGGAGUGCCGGCUUGUAGGGAGCGACCCUCACAAGCAUGUGCGAAUGAGCACAAAUGGCAAGCAAGCGUAGUCAACGUCUCAAAUACCCAAUCAUCAUGUCUCUAACAUGGUAAAAGUCACUAGCAUCUCAAAGAUCUAGUUCAAUGUCUCAAAGUGAUGUUCCAACACUCACUAUGCUUAGUGCCUCUUUAUGACACUUAAGCUUGUUAUAAGUUAACACAUUUCAUAAUCGAUGUUCCAUUCAUGACAUUAGUACUAGGUUCUCAUUUAACCCGAGCUCAAUGCCCCUUUAUGACAUUAGCCCAAUUAUUCACAAGUAGUACAAGUCCCCGAGCCUCUUUAUGGCUUACUAAGAUCCUUUAAGUUUCAAAUAGGAAUAGCUUUAAAUGCAUGCAAGUAAUGCUCAUUUUCACAAUAGGAAUUAUAAUUCCAAGUCUCAAUAGGAUGCCAAUCAUGUACAAGUUCCACAUGCUAGUUCUCUACUACAUAGAGGUCCGAAAAUUUCUUACACAUAACAUGGCAUGUUAAGGAUCCUAAAAUUCACAAUAAUUAUAUUUAUCAUGAAAAUGAAUGAAUUUCAAUUUUACGAAACAUAAAACAUAGGAUAUGAGAAUUUCUCAUAUGCUAGGCUAGGUCAAACCCACCGAACCGUCUCGAAACCCUUCGUUUCACCGAACGGAGUUGUACACAAUUCUCUAGGCUAGGUCAAACCCACCGAACCAUCUCGAAACCCUUCGUUUCGCCGAACAGAGUUGUACACAAUUCUCUAAAUACCCUAAAGGUAAGGAAAGAAGAGAUAAGCAAACGUUACGAACAACUCUAGGCUCAAACAUUAACCACCACAAGCAAAGGGGCAAAAACUCACCUAAGGAGUAGAAAAUCUCUCUCAAGCUCCAAAAGAGAGCUAGAUCCCUUCCAAUCUGAUCUAAUGGAAGAUUCUAUUCCAAUCAAUUUAGCUCAAAAGGCCCUAAAAUCAAAAUGCCCAAAAUCAACCCUAAAAUCACAUUCUAGGGUUUCAUCUCAAAGAAAC